GGAGGAAUGGCCGAGUGGUUGAAGGCGGCGGUCUUGAAAACCGUUGUACCGCAAGGUACCGUGGGUUCGAAUCCUACUUCCUCCGCCA
RNAcentral lists this transfer RNA (88 nucleotides) under Deltaproteobacteria bacterium. RNAcentral's name for it is "tRNA-Ser". It matches the Rfam family "tRNA". Rfam says of the family: Transfer RNA (tRNA) molecules are approximately 80 nucleotides in length. Their secondary structure includes four short double-helical elements and three loops (D, anti-codon, and T loops). Further hydrogen bonds mediate the characteristic L-shaped molecular structure. tRNAs have two regions of fundamental functional importance: the anti-codon, which is responsible for specific mRNA codon recognition, and the 3' end, to which the tRNAs corresponding amino acid is attached (by aminoacyl-tRNA synthetases). tRNAs cope with the degeneracy of the genetic code in two manners: having more than one tRNA (with a specific anti-codon) for a particular amino acid; and 'wobble' base-pairing, i.e. permitting non-standard base-pairing at the 3rd anti-codon position. Lineage: Bacteria; Pseudomonadati; Myxococcota; Myxococcia. The record is from RNAcentral.